CUAUCUAACUUGGGCUUUCCUGUUUUGUACAUUAGACAUGGACGUUGCAAGAGAGAAGCUACGAGUGAAACCCAACGGAAUGAUACCUCAUAUGACAUAGCUGACACAUCUCUUUUCUCUCCUGGACUCAGGGAGCCUGGAGUCAGAGGGAAUGAGCCCUGGGAGCCUGGGACCUGGUCAGGUGAAUGCCCUCCAUCCAGACCUGACCCACAUCAGCAAUCACAAUCACCAGCCCUGAAGUCAGGAGGACCUGAGUUCAAAUGUGACCUCAGACACUUAACACUUCUUAUUUGUGGAACCCUGGAUAAGUCACUUAAUACCAAUUAACCUCAGCAAAAAAGAAGAAGAAAAGAAUGUAUAGAAGGACUUUUUUUUCUUUUUU
This 382-nucleotide long non-coding RNA is filed under the name Sarcophilus harrisii (Tasmanian devil). RNAcentral describes it as "lncRNA (ENSSHAG00000024771.1)". Lineage: Eukaryota; Metazoa; Chordata; Mammalia; Dasyuromorphia; Dasyuridae. The record is from RNAcentral.